AGUGAGCGCUGGCGGUAGGCCUAACACAUGCAAGUCGAACGGCAGCACAGUAAGAGCUUGCUCUUACGGGUGGCGAGUGGCGGACGGGUGGGGAAUACAUCGGAAUCUACUUUUUCGUGGGGGAUAACGUAGGGAAACUUACGCUAAUACCGCAUACGACCUACGGGUGAAAGCGGGGGAUCUUCGGACCUUGCGCGAUUGAAUGAGCCGAUGUCGGAUUAGCUAGUUGGCGGGGUAAAGGCCCACCAAGGCGACGAUCCGUAGCUGGUCUGAGAGGAUGAUCAGCCACACUGGAACUGAGACACGGUCCAGACUCCUACGGGAGGCAGCAGUGGGGAAUAUUGGACAAUGGGCGCAAGCCUGAUCCAGCCAUACCGCGUGGGUGAAGAAGGCCUUCGGGUUGUAAAGCCCUUUUGUUGGGAAAGAAAAGCAGCAGGUUAAUACCCCGCUGUUCUGACGGUACCCAAAGAAUAAGCACCGGCUAACUUCGUG
This 492-nucleotide ribosomal RNA is filed under the name uncultured bacterium. RNAcentral describes it as "partial 16S ribosomal RNA". It matches the Rfam family "Bacterial small subunit ribosomal RNA", at positions 29 to 507 of the family's 1533-position model. The record is from RNAcentral.